Molecule: ribosomal RNA, 2235 nt
Filed under: Triticum aestivum (bread wheat)
Lineage: Eukaryota; Viridiplantae; Streptophyta; Magnoliopsida; Poales; Poaceae
Description: partial small subunit ribosomal RNA
Source: RNAcentral
AUGCCGCCGCGCCCUCCUCCUUCCAGAGCACGGACCUUUGGCGGCAUAAACCGCCGUCGCCGUCGCACGCGCCGCCGGCCGCGCCGCGAGCCCGAUUUCCCCACGCCCCGCGGCAUGGCGCGCAACAAGGAAGGGCUGGUUCUGCUGCUGGAUGUCGGCCCGUCGAUGCACCGGGCGCUGCCGGAGGUUGAGAACGUCUGCACGACCCUCGUGCGCAAGAAGCUGGUUUUUCAUAGGAGCGACGAGGUUGGCGUUGUCCUGUUUGGAACUAAAGAAACACACAAUGACCUCGCGAGGGAACUUGGGGGCUAUAAGCAUGUGCUGGUUAAGCAUGAUAUUAAAGUUGUUGACGAAGAAACAAAAGAUGCUCUUGAAAAUCUUCCUAGGGGAACUGCCCCUGGUGACUUUCUGGAUGCUAUUGUUGUUGGUUUGGAUAUGCUGAUAAAGAGAUUCGGAGAUACCAAAGCAAAACAACGUCUGUGUCUAAUCACCGACGCACAACAUCUGCUAAGGGAUCCACCCCAAGGGACAAAAGAAGACCAGGUGGACACUAUUGCAGACCAGAUGAAAAAACAUGAUAUUAAGAUGGAUUGCAUUGUUUUCAGGGAAUCUGGAGUUCAACACAAUUCUGUAAUGGAUGAAAAUGACCGGUUAUUAUAUCACUUCAGAGAUAGGUCGGUGGCAAAGGUAGUCCAGGUUGACACCCCGACAGCACUCUUAGGUGCUCUCAAGACAAGAAAUGUACUCCCAGUUACUAUCUUCAGGGGAGACCUGGAAGUGAGCUCCACUUUUAAAAUCAAGGUGUGGGCGUAUAAGAAAACAUCUGAGGAAAAAUUCCCCACUUUGAAGAAGUAUUCUGAUAAGGCUCCUCCAAGUGAUCAGUUUGCCUCGCAUGAAGUCAAAGUGGAUUAUGAGUACAAAAGCAUUCUAGAACCAGACACAGUUAUUCCACCAGAUCAAAGAAUCAAGGGCUAUCUUUACGGUCCUCAAGUUGUUCCUAUAUCAUCUGCUGAAUGGGAGGCUGUGAAGUUCAAGCCAGAGAAAGGUGUGAAGCUUCUAGGUUUUGCAGAUAGAUCCAGCAUACCACGGUCCUAUUUUAUGAAAGAUGUGAACUCCUUUGUACCUGAACCGGGAAACACAAAAGCAAUGGUUGCAGUCUCUGCCUUAGCUAGAGCAAUGCAAGAAAUGAACAAGGUUGCAAUUCUGCGAUGUGUGUGGAGGCAAAAUCAAGCGAAUGUUGCUUUUGGUGUAUUGACACCAAACAUCUCAUCAGUGAACAAUGUGCCAGAUUCCUUUUACUUCAAUAUACUGCCUUUUGCUGAGGACAUCAGAGACUUUCCAUUUCGCUCCUUCAGCAGCCUGCCACCAUCAUCACAGCCUACUGAAGAACAGCAGGAAGCGGCAGAUAAUCUAGUGAAGAUGUUAGAUCUUGCACCACCUGGAAGGGAAGAGAUCCUCAGGCCUGAUUUCACACCAAACCCUAUGUUGGAGAGGUUCUACAGCUACCUUGAUCUGAAGUCAAAGCAGCCAGAUGCAAAUCCACCACCGCUCGAUAGCUGUCUAAGGAGGAUAACCGAGCCAGAUCCUGACGUCAUUAAUUAUCGAGUACCGUUAAUCCAAAAUUUAGGCAAAUCUUUUGAGCUGAAGGAGAACCCCAAGAGAAAGAAAGCCCGGACACAGGAGAGAUUAGCUUAUACUGACCCAGAUGAUCAAGCUAAAAGUUCAGAAAAUAAUGCAGAGAAGGCUACGGCGGCAGAUGGUCAAGCUAAAAAGCCAGAAGAUCCUUAUGCAGAGAAGGCUAGGGCGAUAGAGGUUAUGUUUCCUUCAACAGAGAAGGUUGGGAAGAUUGGAGAUGUAAAUCCUGUUAAAGAUUUUGAAGCCAUGCUGGCAGAGAGAUCUAGCUCAAUAUGGGUUCAGAAGGCAAUUGAAGAGAUGAAGAAGUACACGACCAAUUUGGUAGAGAAUUCUCUUCAAGGAGAUUAUUACGAAAAGGCACUCAAGUGUUUUGUUGCUCUGCGGAAGGCCUGUAUAAUCGAACAGGAGCCGGAGGAAUAUAACCAAUUUGUGACGAAGCUUUAUGAGAGACUGAAGAAGGUGGAUGAUGUGGUGAAGUUCUUUCAGCUUCUUUCAUCCAAGAAUGUUUUGCUUAUAUGCAAAGAAGAAGCGCCUGACAGCGAUGUGACUGAAGAGAUGGCGAGGAGCUUCUUCUUGAAAACCGAAAUAUCCUCUGAGUAG